CCUACGGGAUGCAGCAGUGGGGAAUAUUGCACAAUGGGCGAAAGCCUGAUGCAGCAACGCCGCGUGAAGGAAGACGGUUUUCGGAUUGUAAACUUCUGUUCUUAGUGAAGAAUAAUGACGGUAACUAAGGAGCAAGCCACGGCUAACUACGUGCCAGCAGCCGCGGUAAUACGUAGGUGGCAAGCGUUGUCCGGAAUUACUGGGUGGAAAGGGAGCGUGGGCGGGAAGCCAAGUCAGCUGUGAAAUCUACGGGCUUAACCUGUAGACUGCAGUUGAAACUGGCGUUCUUGAGUGAAGUAGAGGGUGGCGGAAUUCCGAGUGUAGCGGUGAAAUGCGUAGAUAUUCGGAGGAACACCAGUGGCGAAGGCGGCCAACUGGGCUGUAACUGACGCUGAGGCUCGAAAGUGUGGGGAGCAAACAGGAUUAGAUACCCGGGUAGUC
Molecule: ribosomal RNA, 441 nt
Filed under: uncultured bacterium
Lineage: Bacteria
Description: partial 16S ribosomal RNA
Rfam family: Bacterial small subunit ribosomal RNA
Source: RNAcentral